ACAUAGGGGGCGAGCGUUAUCCGGAAUUAUUGGGCGUAAAGGGUGCGUAGGCGGCUUUUUAAGUCUUUGGUAUAAGUGCAGUGCUUAACGCUGUGAUGCUAAGGAAACUGGAAGGCUUGAGUAAGAUAGAGGCAAGUGGAAUUCCAUGUGUAGCGGUAAAAUGCGUAAAUAUAUGGAGGAACACCAGUGGCGAAGGCGGCUUGCUGGGUCUUUACUGACGCUGAGGCACGAAAGCGUGGGGAGCAAACAGG
Molecule: ribosomal RNA, 251 nt
Filed under: uncultured bacterium
Lineage: Bacteria
Description: partial 16S ribosomal RNA
Rfam family: Bacterial small subunit ribosomal RNA
Source: RNAcentral